GAUGAACGCUAGCGGGAGGCCUAACACAUGCAAGCCGAGCGGUAUUUGUUCUUCGGAACAGAGAGAGCGGCGCACGGGUGCGGAACACGUGUGCAACCUGCCUUUAUCUGGGGGAUAGCCUUUCGAAAGGAAGAUUAAUACCCCAUAAUAUAUUGAGUGGCAUCACUUGAUAUUGAAAACUCCGGUGGAUAGAGAUGGGCACGCGCAAGAUUAGAUAGUUGGUGAGGUAACGGCUCACCAAGUCAAUGAUCUUUAGGGGGCCUGAGAGGGUGAUCCCCCACACUGGGACUGAGACACUGACCAGACUCCUACGGGAGGCAGCAGUGAGGAAUAUUGGACAAUGGGUUAGCGCCUGAUCCAGCCAUCCCGCGUGAAGGACGACGGCCCUAUGGGUUGUAAACUUCUUUUGGAUAGGGAUAAACCUACUCUCGUGAGAGUAGCUGAAGGUACUAUACGAAUAAGCACCGGCUAACUCCGUG
RNAcentral lists this ribosomal RNA (479 nucleotides) under uncultured bacterium. RNAcentral describes it as "partial 16S ribosomal RNA". It matches the Rfam family "Bacterial small subunit ribosomal RNA", at positions 28 to 507 of the family's 1533-position model. The record is from RNAcentral.